CGAUUAUAAAUAACUUGAAACGCCGAUUCUCGUACGAUCACCGAAGUUAAGUAACGUUGAGCCUGGUCAGUAUCUAGAUGGGUUACCACUUGGGAAUACCAGUUGCCGUAA
Non-coding RNA from Acanthosepion pharaonis, 111 nucleotides. The record is from the annotation of a GenBank genome assembly. NCBI's taxonomy places the organism in Eukaryota, Metazoa, Mollusca, Cephalopoda, Sepiida, Sepiidae.